Long non-coding RNA from Podarcis raffonei (Aeolian wall lizard), 930 nucleotides. RefSeq lists it as uncharacterized. The record is from RefSeq and is a predicted model, not a curated record. The transcript has 3 exons. NCBI's taxonomy places the organism in Eukaryota, Metazoa, Chordata, Lepidosauria, Squamata, Lacertidae.
GUUCCGCUCUCAAGACGCCAGAGAUUCUUAAGCCACAGGGCUGGCAGCUGGCCAUAGCAGAGGGGGUAACCAACAGAACUUACGUGAGGUCAAGGCUCUCAGGGGCCUUUGUGAUGAGGGCCUUCCACCUGGGGGUGAGUUGACAUCCUUUCUUCAGAUGCAGCUGGAGUUUAGGACGAGGCCAAUCCUGAACCUCCCAGGUCUCAAGGCACCUGAGAUUGAACCUACCCAGGUGGCAACUGGGGAACGGUCGGUCCCGGAGGCAGCAACACUGGCGGCUCCCACCCUGGCAUGGAGAACGAUGAGGAAAAUAUUUCUUCCCCUAAUAGUGGGACAAAUAACUGAUGUGUGGUGUUUCCUUUGCCUCAGUAUGAGUUUCCACUACAGCAGCCAGUAGAUGUGCAUAAGACACUUGGAGGAGUACAGUCAACAAUCCCUAUGCCUGACCUUUCCUCAUCAUGGUUGAUCACUAGCAGCAAGGAUGUGUCCAGGUGGAUCCAAGAGGAGUUGUCUUAAUAUGGGAAAACGUUUGAAAGACACCAUCACCUGAAGUCUAGAACGAUGCAACCCACUUAAACCCAACCAUCUUAUUCUGCUGCAUGUGAAGACCAGGUUAUUGGACUUUCUCUCUCCCAGUGCUAGCCCAAGACAUUUUGCUGCCUGAAGUCAAGAAGUCUACAUCAGUUUAAACCCAAAUUCCUAGGUUUAUCUGGGCUUGUCUGGCAGCUAUUUUGCUUUGAAUGAGGUCUGAAAUACAAUCUUUAGCUGGCUCUCUUAAGACAUUUUAUAUCUUUGCUUUCUUCUGUAACAUAUCUUUGAGGUUAGACAAAAACUCCUGCAUCAUCACAACUCCGUCUGUUCCAGUUCCUGUCAUAUUCGGAUGGGAAAAAAUUGUUUGUUUUUUGUUUCUUAAUAAAUCUGCUCUAUUUA